AAAAGUCGGAACGAGGAUUGUUACGGAAAACCUAAGCUUUUGAGGUUGAGCGAGGUCGGAAGGCGGAGGAUGUUGAGUGAUGUUAUCAAGAAUUGGUCCGGUUACUAUUACGUCUUCAUACGUAGUAGUAACUACACUCUCAAAUUGCUUCCGCUAUUCAAUGUCUUAAGAAACUCUGUUAUUUCCGUUAUUGUUAAACUCUGUUAUCUUUCAUUAUGAGACUUGGGUUUUGAAACGUUGAUUGAUUUAAAUGGAAUUUCCUCUUUGAUUGUUAA
Molecule: long non-coding RNA, 275 nt
Organism: Salvia splendens (bonfire salvia)
Lineage: Eukaryota; Viridiplantae; Streptophyta; Magnoliopsida; Lamiales; Lamiaceae
Exons: 2
Source: RefSeq, a predicted model, not a curated record